RNAcentral lists this ribosomal RNA (272 nucleotides) under Acinetobacter sp. RNAcentral's name for it is "partial 16S ribosomal RNA". It matches the Rfam family "Bacterial small subunit ribosomal RNA", at positions 776 to 1050 of the family's 1533-position model. Lineage: Bacteria; Pseudomonadati; Pseudomonadota; Gammaproteobacteria; Moraxellales; Moraxellaceae. The record is from RNAcentral.
GAUUAGANNCCUGGUAGUCACGCCGUAAACGAUGUCAACUAGCCGUUGGGAGCCUUGAGCUCUUAGUGGCGCAGCUAACGCAUUAAGUUGACCGCCUGGGGAGUACGGCCGCAAGGUUAAAACUCAAAUGAAUUGACGGGGGCCCCACAAGCGGUGGAGCAUGUGGUUUAAUUCGAAGCAACGCGAAGAACCUUACCAGGCCUUGACAUCCAAUGAACUUUCUAGAGAUAGAUUGGUGCCUUCGGGAACAUUGAGACAGGUGCUGCAUGGCU